GCCGUGAGGUGUUGGGUUAAGUCCCGCAACGAGCGCAACCCUCACUCUAUGUUGCUAUCGGGUAAUGCCGGGCACUCUUAGGGAACUGCCGGCGAAGAGCUGGAGGAAGGGGGGGAUGACGUCAAGUCCGUAUGCCCCUUAUGUCCAGGGCUACACACAUGCUACAAUGGCCGAUACAGAGGGUUCCCAACCCGCGAGGGGGAGGCAAUCCCACAAAGUCGGUCUCAGUUCGGAUUGCAGGCUGCAACUCGCCUGCAUGAAGUCGGAAUCGCUAGUAAGCGCAGAUCAGCAGGCUGCGCUGAAUACGUUCCCGGGCCUUGUACACACCGCCCGUCACACCACGAAAGCCGGUUGUACCAGAAGUCGCUGAGCCAACCCGCAAAGGAUGCAGGCGCCGAAGGUAUGGUCGGUGAUUGGGGUGAAGUCGUAACAAGGUAGCCGUAGGGGGAACCUGCGGCUGGAUCACCUCCUUUUCUAAGGAGCCUUCGAGGGGUCCGGGGGUUCUAACGGAUCUCCGGGCCCUCCUAAGCUUCAACUUCCGCAGCAACGCACCCUUCCUCGUGUGAGCCAGUAGCAUUAUUUUCUUCUGGGCCUUUAGCUCAGCUGGCUAGAGCGCGCGCUUGAUAAGCGCGAGGUCCCUGGUUCGACCCCAGGAAGGCCCACCAGAAUGGCAGCCUUGGAGAUGCAGCUCAAGGGGAUGUAGCUCAGCUGGGAGAGCACCUGCUUUGCAAGCAGGGGGUCGCCGGUUCGACUCCGGUCAUCUCCACCAGGCGAAAAGCGAUAGAGCCACAGUUCAGAAUGUGGCGGCUCUGGCCGCACGGCUCUUUGACAACCGAAUACGUUGAUUCUCGAGUGUAGCCAAGCAAUGUUCUCCAAAAGUAGGCAAUGAAGUUCGUGGUCAAGCUACUAAGGGCGAACGGUGGAUGCCUUGGCGCCAGGAAGCGAUGAAGGGCGUGGCUAGCUGCGAUAAGCCUCGGGGAGCCGCAAGCAGGCUUCGAUCCGAGGAUGC
Molecule: small RNA, 1009 nt
Filed under: uncultured bacterium
Lineage: Bacteria
Description: bacterial SSU rRNA
Rfam family: Bacterial small subunit ribosomal RNA (bases 1-473)
Source: RNAcentral